This is a long non-coding RNA of Quercus lobata, 366 nucleotides long. RefSeq lists it as uncharacterized. The transcript has 3 exons. Lineage: Eukaryota; Viridiplantae; Streptophyta; Magnoliopsida; Fagales; Fagaceae. The record is from RefSeq and is a predicted model, not a curated record.
GUCCCAUUUUCAAAACUUUUUGUUUUUCUCAGAAUCACAGAACAACUUAUGGUCGUUGACUGUUUAGCUAUUCCUCAAUUUAUUCAUUUCUAUUUUUCUUUACAAGCAUUUGAGAAUUCUGCGAAUAUCUUGGUUAUAAAACUAUUAUGCAUGUAAUGGUGCAGGACUGUCUUCAAUUGUUGAACAACCUUCUCCGAACUAAUGCAUCUAAUCAGAUACUACUGAGAGAGACUAUGGGAUUUGACCCCGUAAUAUCAAUUCUGAAGCUACGGGGAAGUACUUACAGUUUCACCCAACAAAAGUAGACAAUUAAUCUACUCAGUGCAUUAGAAACCAUUAAUUUGUUAAUGAUGGGAGGUACAGAGG